AUACGUAGGGGGCGAGCGUUGUCCGGAAUGAUUGGGCGUAAAGGGCGCGUAGGCGGCCCGGUAAGUCUGGAGUGAAAGUCCUGCUUUUAAGGUGGGAAUUGCUUUGGAUACUGUCGGGCUUGAGUGCAGGAGAGGUAAGUGGAAUUCCCAGUGUAGCGGUGAAAUGCGUAGAGAUUGGGAGGAACACCAGUGGCGAAGGCGACUUACUGGACUGUAACUGACGCUGAGGCGCGAAAGUGUGGGGAGCAAACAGGAUUAGAUACCCUGGUAGUCCACACUGUAAACGAUGAAUGCUAGGUGUAGGGGGUAUCGGCCCCUUCUGUGCCGCAGUUAACACAAUAAGCAUUCCGCCUGGGGAGUACGGCCGCAAGGUUGAAACUCAAAUGAAUUGGCGGGG
Molecule: ribosomal RNA, 397 nt
Filed under: uncultured bacterium
Lineage: Bacteria
Description: partial 16S ribosomal RNA
Rfam family: Bacterial small subunit ribosomal RNA
Source: RNAcentral